AUGCCUCGUAGCCCUUACGACACGUACCUCUACAUCGACAACUUCAUGUUUGGUCGUCAAGUAGAAAAACAGCAAAUCAUGAAUGUUUUGCUGCAAGAAAAUAUUCCUCCUUUCGCUCCAACUGUUCUUCCGAUCAUCAGCACCAAUAGAGUGGGCAAGAAAACUCUAGUCGCGCAUGUUUGUAACAAUGAUAGAGUUAGAUCACACUUCUCUUUGAUCUUGCGUCUGAAAGGGGAAAGCAUUCACAAAACUGAGCAUGGAGCUUUCGUUCCAACUGGGAGGACUUUGGUUGUGCUUGAAUUUACUUCAGACAUAGAUGAUGUUAGUUGGCAAAAGUUUUAUUCCACAACUAGACGUAUGGGAAAAGGAAGCAAGAUCAUCAUCAUAAGUAGGAUCGAGAGUGUAUCGAGACUCGGAACCAUAAGGCCGAUGCACUUAAACAGCUUGUCGCUGGAGGAGUACAGUUACCUCUUCAAGGUCCUUGCAUUCGGAAGCACAAAUCCAGAUGAUCACCCCCGGCUAUCAUUGGUAGCGAGUGAGCUAGCUGUGUUGAUGGGAGGUUCGCUCGUGGUAGCAAAUGUGUGCGCCGAUAUCUUCAGAAAGAACCAGAAUCUUCAGUUCUGGCAACAUAUCCUCAACAAGUACAGAAACUUUCUGGCGAACAAUUUCUCGGUGUUUUGUGAACAUCCAAAGCUUCUCAUCGAGAGAGAUCGCCCAGUGGAUAUAUCAAAACUCGUGUCAUCGACCUCUGCUCCGCUUCGCCUCAUGCCACCGCACUGCGAAGACGACGAUUCUACGAGGGAUUUGCCCAAGGUGAGGUAUGGGGACCUGAUCGCCGGCUCCGUUGUUCCGCCGAGGGAGAAGUUUGAGCUAGUAGGUUGGGAGUCGCGGAUACCGCCAUAUAAGAAGUAUGUCAAUGUUGCUAUGUUCUCUGGUGAGGUGAAUGUUUCGGAACAUGUGGUCUCACCUUGCAAGAAGCGCAUACGAUUUAGUUAA
Molecule: ribosomal RNA, 996 nt
Filed under: Triticum aestivum (bread wheat)
Lineage: Eukaryota; Viridiplantae; Streptophyta; Magnoliopsida; Poales; Poaceae
Description: partial small subunit ribosomal RNA
Source: RNAcentral